Molecule: long non-coding RNA, 1475 nt
Organism: Ctenopharyngodon idella (grass carp)
Lineage: Eukaryota; Metazoa; Chordata; Actinopteri; Cypriniformes; Xenocyprididae
Exons: 3
Source: RefSeq, a predicted model, not a curated record
AAAGAGAUACGUUUUUAGUCUAGAUUUAAACUGACAGAGUGUGUCUGCUUCCCGAACAAUGCUAGGAAGAUUGUUCCAGAGUUUAGGUGCCAAAUAGGAGAAGGAUCUACCACCUGCAGUUGAUUUUGAUAUUCUAGGUAUUAUCAGCUGGCCUGAAUUCUGAGAUCGCAAUAGACGUGAAGGACUAUAAUGAAUUAGGAGCUCGCUCAGGUACUGGGGAGCUAAACCAUUUAGUGCUUUGUAAGUAAUUAGCAAGAUUUUAAAAUCUAUACGAUGUUUAACAGGAAGCCAAUGCAGUGUUGACAGAACUGGGCUAAUAUGGUCAUACUUCCUAGUUCUAGUAAGAACUCUAGCUGCUGCAUUUUGUACGAGCUGUAGUUUAUUUAUCAGGCGAGCAGAACAACCACCCAGUAGAGCAUUACAGUAAUCUAGCCUUGAGGUCAUGAACGCAUGAACUAACUGUUCUGCAUUUUUCAUUGAGAGCAUAUGUCGUAGUUUAGAUAUAUUUUUAAGAUGGAAGAAUGCGGUUUUACAGAUGCUAGUAACAUGGCCUUCAAAUGAAAGAUUGGUAUCAAAGAGCACACCCAGGUUCCUAACUGACGACGAAGACUUAACAGAGCAGCCAUCAAGUGUUAGACAAUAUUCUAGGUUAUUACGUGAAGAAGUUUUUGGUCCAAAAAUUAGAAUCUCUGUUUUUUCUGAAUUUAGUAGUAGGAAAUUACUGGUCAUCCAAUUUUUUAUAUCAGCUAUGCAUUCCGUUAAUUUUGUGAAUUGGUAAGUUUCGUCAGGGCGCGAAGAAAUAUAGAGCUGAAUAUCAUCAGCGUAACAGUGAAAACGAACGCCAUGCUUCCUAAUGAUAUCUCCCAAGGGUAGCAUGUACAGAGUGAACAGUAACGGUCCUAGUACUGAGCCUUGUGGCACUCCAUAUUGAACUUGUGAUCGAUAUGACAUGUCUUCGUUUACUACUACAAACUGAUAACGGUCAGAUAAGUAUGAUUUGAACCAUGACAAUGCAAUUCCAGUAAUGCCAACAUAAUUUUCGAGUCUAUUUAAAAGAAUAUUGUGAUCAAUAGUGUCAAAUGCUGCACUAAGAUCCAGUAACACUAAUAGAGAGAUACAACCACGAUCUGAUGAUAAGAGCAAAUCAUUUGUAACUCUAAUGAGAGCAGUCUCAGUACUAUGGUACGGUCUAAAUCCUGACUGGAAAUCCUCACAGAUACCAUUUCUUUCUAAAAAGGAACAUAGCUGUGAUGAUACUGCCUUUUCUAGUAUUUUUGACAGAAAAGUGAGAUUUGAGAUCGGCCUGUAAUUGACUAAUUCUCUAGGAUCAAGUUGUGGUUUUUUAAUAAGAGGUUUAAUAAUAGCCAGCUUAAAAGUUUUCGGUACGUAUCCUAGUGAUAAAGAUGAAUUGACGAUAUUAAGAAGAGGAUCUAUAACCUCUGGAAGCAUUUCUUUCAAUAGCUUAGUCGGUAUAG